CGGGGCCUGCGCGGGGGUGGCCCGGGGAGCCCAGGCGGGACGCGCUCUCUGGGCGCAGGCUCGCUGAUAAACUUUUGGUCCGGUUCAUCACUCAUGUCACAGCCCUAGUGACGUGCGUACUAUUAUUAGCGUCACUUAGAGGUGAGGAAACAGGCUCAAAAAAUACCAAGUUACGUGCUUGAAGUCAAACCGAAGGCAGAGCUGCGAAGCAAAUCCAAGUCUGUCUUGACACAGCUGUGUGUCCUACUUCUCAUGGAUCAGCCUCUUCCCGGCUUUCAUUCCCGUGAGCAGCAAACAGCGCUCCCGGGGACAUCUGGGCACUCUCCCUUCUAACAAUGGAGAGGGGACGCAGUCAUUUUAGAAGCUUAAGAACAGCUCUGAGGCCAGAACGUGACUUCCUCGGAGACCUGAUGACGGUGAUGUGGGCGGGGACCUCCGGGAAGAAGGAGGAAGUCAAGUCCCCGGGUUCGCAGCUGGCCUGUCUGCCACCCCCCAGAGAGGGACCCAGCACCUCAGGCGUGGAGCCAGCCCUCCGGGCCUGGGCCUCUUUGCUGGCUAGGACUNNNNNNNNNNNNNNNNNNGGCCCAGUAAAAGAUAAAGUUGUGUCUGUGUGUGGAAGUGGAGUGGGUUGGGGGGGGCUUCUUGCUGUGGAAUGUCCAAGUAAAUGUAGAUUAGGGUAGGAAGGAAUAUGCUGGCUUUCAGAUUUUCUCCUGGAUGGGACAGAGCCCUUCCAUGGCAAAUGAUUUCAGGGUCAGCACAGAAUUUUGAGAGGAGUUUAUCUUGAAAAGUGAAGCCUGCUAAUGCAAGUUUUCUGUCAUUGCCAAAUCUUGGGAACUGUUUGGGUUUUAAAAUCACUGAGCACUGGAGCAACUGUUUUUCCCUUCCAAGCCACUAUUUUGUGAAAUGAGGCUAAAAUACCUGGGCAGCCCUUUUCCCUUGGGCACCCUGGAAUGCUGGGACUAUGAAUGGCAUGUCAGAAGAGUUGGAGCUCCAAAGGGAAGUCAGACCACGAAAGGACAAGGCUCUCUCCUUUAAAAACGAAGUCCUCCUUUUUUUAAUCACAAAAGUAAUUACUACUCAUUGUACACAAGUUAGAUUUUUUUUUUUGUAGAAUCAGAAGAUUAAAAAAAAUUGAAAUCCCACACUGAGGAAACCAUCGACAAUUUGAUGUAUAGCAUUAAAUGUAAGCAGACUGAACACACUGCUUUUUUCCUUGAACAGCCUUUUUUCCUUGAAUAAAAUAUCAUGACAUGCCCCUAAAUAUU
This is a long non-coding RNA of Ursus maritimus (polar bear), 1265 nucleotides long. Lineage: Eukaryota; Metazoa; Chordata; Mammalia; Carnivora; Ursidae. The record is from Ensembl.